This 526-nucleotide long non-coding RNA is filed under the name Vulpes vulpes (red fox). RNAcentral's name for it is "lncRNA (ENSVVUG00000005702.1)". The record is from RNAcentral. Lineage: Eukaryota; Metazoa; Chordata; Mammalia; Carnivora; Canidae.
GGUAUCACCACAGAAAUGGUAAAUACAGAAUGUCAAAAUUAAGCUCUUGCUUUCAUCCUUUUUCUUCUUAGGACAAGCCAGGAGAUCAGGGCGCCUCUGUAUUCCUUGAAGGACAGACAGGCAGCCUCAGGUCCCUACCAGCUCACCAUUCCUGGGGAGGAGUGCCAGGUCCAACACUGCCAGUUACCAGUUUGCACAGGGCCCUGCAAAGUGUGUGGCUGGCCCUGAUUCCAGGGACCAAAGAACGACCGUUCACCUUCCAUAUUUCACAGAUGCGUCCACGUAGACAUUCACACAUACGUGCAAAAGUGUGCAUGUGUGUCUAUGUAUUUGUGACAGACAAGACAGAAAGAGAGAGAGAGAGAGCCUGCAUGACAUUCUUAACACCUGCUCUGCCACCCACUUUCCAGCUUCCUUUGGAAGUCAAGAACUGGGUUCUGAGACCUUCGGUCAGGUGAGCACUGUCCAGGGCUUAGCCAUGUGCAUGUGUGUAUAUGUAUGCAUGUAUGUAUACAUGUGUGUGUAU